Molecule: ribosomal RNA, 467 nt
Filed under: uncultured bacterium
Lineage: Bacteria
Description: partial 16S ribosomal RNA
Rfam family: Bacterial small subunit ribosomal RNA
Source: RNAcentral
GACGGACGCUGGCGGCGUGCUUAACACAUGCAAGUCGAACGGAAAGGCCUCUUUCGGGGGGUACUCGAGUGGCGAACGGGUGAGUAACACGUGAGUAACCUGCCCUUGACUUUGGGAUAACUUCAAGAAACUGGGGCUAAUACCGGAUAGGAGCUCCUGCUGCAUGGUGGGGGUUGGAAAGUUUCGGCGGUUGGGGAUGGACUCGCGGCUUAUCAGCUUGUUGGUGGGGUAGUGGCUUACCAAGGCUUUGACGGGUAGCCGGCCUGAGAGGGUGACCGGCCACAUUGGGACUGAGAUACGGCCCAGACUCCUACGGGAGGCAGCAGUGGGGAAUAUUGCACAAUGGGUGGAAGCCUGAUGCAGCAACGCCGUGUGCGGGAUGACGGCCUUCGGGUUGUAAACCGCUUUCGCUCAUGACGAAGCUUUGUGUGACGGUAGUGGGUAAAGAAGCACCGGCUAACUACGUG